RNAcentral lists this ribosomal RNA (426 nucleotides) under uncultured bacterium. RNAcentral's name for it is "bacterial SSU rRNA". It matches the Rfam family "Bacterial small subunit ribosomal RNA", at positions 356 to 773 of the family's 1533-position model. The record is from RNAcentral.
AGGGAAUCUUCCGCAAUGGACGAAAGUCUGACGGAGCAACGCCGCGUGAGUGAAGAAGGUCUUCGGAUCGUAAGACUCUGUUGUUAGGGAAGAACAAGUAUCGUUCGAACAGGGCGGUGCCUUGACGGUACCCGGCCAGAAAGCCACGGCUAACUACGUGCCAGCAGCCGCGGUAAUACGUAGGUGGCAAGCGUUGUCCGGAAUUAUUGGGCGUAAAGCGCGCGCAGGCGGUUUCUUAAGUCUGAUGUGAAAUCUUGCGGCUCAACCGCAAGCGGUCAUUGGAAACUGGGAGGCUUGAGUGCAGAAGAGGAGAGUGGAAUUCCACGUGUAGCGGUGAAAUGCGUAGAGAUGUGGAGGAACACCAGUGGCGAAGGCGGCUCUCUGGUCUGUAACUGACGCUGAGGCGCGAAAGCGUGGGGAGCAAAC